Molecule: ribosomal RNA, 1370 nt
Filed under: uncultured bacterium
Lineage: Bacteria
Description: bacterial SSU rRNA
Rfam family: Bacterial small subunit ribosomal RNA
Source: RNAcentral
GAUGAACGCUGGCGGCGUGCCUAAUACAUGCAAGUCGAGCGAACGGACGAGAAGCUUGCUUCUCUGAUGUUAGCGGCGGACGGGUGAGUAACACGUGGAUAACCUACCUAUAAGACUGGGAUAACUUCGGGAAACCGGAGCUAAUACCGGAUAAUAUUUUGAACCGCAUGGUUCAAAAGUAAAAGACGGUCUUGCUGUCACUUAUAGAUGGAUCCGCGCUGCAUUAGCUAGUUGGUAAGGUAACGGCUUACCAAGGCAACGAUGCAUAGCCGACCUGAGAGGGUGAUCGGCCACACUGGAACUGAGACACGGUCCAGACUCCUACGGGAGGCAGCAGUAGGGAAUCUUCCGCAAUGGGCGAAAGCCUGACGGAGCAACGCCGCGUGAGUGAUGAAGGUCUUCGGAUCGUAAAACUCUGUUAUUAGGGAAGAAUAUAUGUGUAAGUAACUGUGCACAUCUUGACGGUACCUAAUCAGAAAGCCACGGCUAACUACGUGCCAGCAGCCGCGGUAAUACGUAGGUGGCAAGCGUUAUCCGGAAUUAUUGGGCGUAGCGCGCGUAGGCGGUUUUUUAAGUCUGAUGUGAAAGCCCACGGCUCAACCGUGGAGGGUCAUUGGAAACUGGAAAACUUGAGUGCAGAAGAGGAAAGUGGAAUUCCAUGUGUAGCGGUGAAAUGCGCAGAGAUAUGGAGGAACACCAGUGGCGAAGGCGACUUUCUGGUCUGUAACUGACGCUGAUGUGCGAAAGCGUGGGGAUCAAACAGGAUUAGAUACCCUGGUAGUCCACGCCGUAAACGAUGAGUGCUAAGUGUUAGGGGGUUUCCGCCCCUUAGUGCUGCAGCUAACGCAUUAAGCACUCCGCCUGGGGAGUACGACCGCAAGGUUGAAACUCAAAGGAAUUGACGGGGACCCGCACAAGCGGUGGAGCAUGUGGUUUAAUUCGAAGCAACGCGAAGAACCUUACCAAAUCUUGACAUCCUUUGACAACUCUAGAGAUAGAGCCUUCCCCUUCGGGGGACAAAGUGACAGGUGGUGCAUGGUUGUCGUCAGCUCGUGUCGUGAGAUGUUGGGUUAAGUCCCGCAACGAGCGCAACCCUUAAGCUUAGUUGCCAUCAUUAAGUUGGGCACUCUAAGUUGACUGCCGGUGACAAACCGGAGGAAGGUGGGGAUGACGUCAAAUCAUCAUGCCCCUUAUGAUUUGGGCUACACACGUGCUACAAUGGACAAUACAAAGGGCAGCGAAACCGCGAGGUCAAGCAAAUCCCAUAAAGUUGUUCUCAGUUCGGAUUGUAGUCUGCAACUCGACUACAUGAAGCUGGAAUCGCUAGUAAUCGUAGAUCAGCAUGCUACGGUGAAUACGUUCCCGGGUCU